CAUGUGUGUGCCUCCCUGGCUCUCCUUCGCUCUGUGGGACGACAGAACCAUCUGCUGCAGAAUCCCAGGGGAAAAGCAGCAUCUCCGAGGAUGAGCUGAUCACCGCCAUCAAAGAAGCAAAGGGAUUAUCGUAUGAAACCACCGAGAGCCCACGGCCGGUGGGUCAGCUGGCCGACAGGCCCGAGGUCAAGGCCAGGUCCGGACCGCCAACCAUCCCCAGCCCCCUGGACCACGAGGCCAGCAGCGCGGAGUCGGGGGACUCAGAGAUCGAGCUGGUGUCCGAGGACCCCAUGGCCGCGGAGGACGCGCUGCCCUCAGGCUAUGUGAGCUUUGGCCACGUGGGCGGCCCGCCGCCCUCGCCCGCCUCGCCAUCCAUCCAGUACAGCAUCCUGAGGGAGGAGCGCGAGGCCGAGCUGGACAGCGAGCUCAUCAUCGAGUCGUGCGACGCCUCCUCGGCCUCGGAGGAGAGCCCCAAGCGGGAGCAGGACUCACCCCCGAUGAAGCCCGGCGCCCUGGACGCCAUCCGGGAGGAGACGGGCGUCCGGGCCGAGGAGCGUGCGCCAAGCCGGCGGGGCCUGGCCGAGCCGGGUUCCUUCCUCGACUACCCCUCAGCUGAGCCCCAGCCUGGCCCCGAGCUGCCCCCUGGAGACGGAGCCCUGGAGCCUGAGACGCCCACGUUGCCACGGAAGCCUGAGGAAGACGCGAGUUCCAACCAAAGUCCUGCGGCCACAAAGGGCCCGGGGCCUCUAGGUCCUGGCGCCCCGCCCCCACUGCUGUUUCUCAAUAAGCAAAAAGCUAUUGACCUGCUGUAUUGGCGGGACAUCAAGCAGACGGGCAUCGUGUUUGGGAGUUUCCUGCUGCUGCUCUUCUCCCUGACCCAGUUCAGCGUGGUGAGCGUUGUGGCCUACCUGGCCCUGGCCGCACUCUCAGCCACCAUCAGUUUCCGCAUCUACAAGUCUGUUUUACAAGCUGUGCAGAAAACCGACGAGGGCCACCCUUUCAAGGCCUACUUGGAGCUUGAGAUCACCCUUUCUCAGGAGCAGAUUCAGAAGUACACGGACUGCCUGCAGUUCUACGUGAACAGCACACUUAAGGAACUGAGGAGGCUCUUCCUUGUCCAGGACCUGGUGGAUUCCUUAAAAUUUGCAGUCCUGAUGUGGCUCCUGACCUACGUUGGCGCUCUGUUCAAUGGCCUGACCCUGCUGCUCAUGGCUGUGGUUUCAAUGUUUACUCUACCUGUAGUGUAUGUUAAGCACCAGGCACAGAUUGACCAAUAUCUGGGACUUGUGAGGACUCACAUAAAUGCUGUUGUGGCAAAGAUUCAGGCUAAAAUCCCAGGCGCUAAGAGGCACGCUGAGUAAACUGAUUUCCCACCGGGGACUGGACACAAACAGGAAUGUCUGGAGUGGUAACAGCUCUCUUCUUACUCGUUACUGCAAAUUGAUUGUUUUCCCCCUCUCCCUCCAGUACCAUAAUCUUAGAGACAAACCUUAAAACAGCUGUUUUUAGGCUGUUCCUUGUACUCUUAGGAUAUUUGAGUCACUUGUGUCAACCACUAAAGUAUAGAGAAAAGUGUAUUAGAUGUGGUUUUUAAUUUUGUGUUGCUAAAAAAAGUGCAUGAUGGUGAGAGCCCAAGUUAUCUUUCCCUCUUCGGUGUUCUUCUCUUCUCUGCAAUGCUUCUGUAGCUUCUAACGUUCCCCGUGGCUAGGCCUUUCCUGCGGAGUGCUCUGAUGCAAUAGUGGAAAUCGCUUAUAUGUCCUUGGGUUGCUGGUUGGAUUAAUCUUUAAUAACAAUAUAUAGAAUUGUAGACUGAUGUUUUAGCAUUUUUCCAACACACACAACGUAAAAAUAAAAGCAGUCGACCGCACUUAUGGUAAUCAGUUUUGUAUAACUUAAAAUAAUUAAAUAAAUGAAUAAAUCCAAAACAAACAUGCAGUACUUUUGUUGUAUGGGAUUGGUGGGCUGAUUUACAUGUAUGGUUACUAAAAAGUACCAGCAUGUUAACUUUAUUACAAUUUGUAUUACUUUCUCUGUAGUUCCUAAUGGAUUCAAUUACGGACUCUGGAUAUUUGCACUUAUGUACUUGAUACUGAAUGCA
This 2098-nucleotide small RNA is filed under the name Pongo abelii (Sumatran orangutan). RNAcentral describes it as "retained intron". The record is from RNAcentral. Lineage: Eukaryota; Metazoa; Chordata; Mammalia; Primates; Hominidae.